AUGCAUUGGGAAGAGUUUGGGCGGGUCGCGGUUGAUAUCGGACCUGUAAAUGAAGAAAUUUUCAUUGCAAUGGGCAUAAUUAAUGUUGUGGUGGGGCUUAGUUGCACGCUCGUUGGUCUGCCCAGGGCGAAGGAGUUCACCGUGGUGGACACGCCACUCCUGGAGCGGCUCUUCUUGUUCCUGCCGCCUAAUGGUGUGGUGGGGCUUAGGAUCGCUUGUGCUCCCAACCUGCGGGUGCUCGCCUACUAG
This 249-nucleotide ribosomal RNA is filed under the name Triticum aestivum (bread wheat). Its description in RNAcentral is "partial small subunit ribosomal RNA". Lineage: Eukaryota; Viridiplantae; Streptophyta; Magnoliopsida; Poales; Poaceae. The record is from RNAcentral.